This 337-nucleotide unclassified non-coding RNA is filed under the name soil metagenome. RNAcentral's name for it is "partial contains 5.8S ribosomal RNA, internal transcribed spacer 2, and large subunit ribosomal RNA". The stretch from base 1 to 120 matches the Rfam family "5.8S ribosomal RNA", at positions 35 to 154 of the family's 154-position model. The record is from RNAcentral.
GAUGAAGAACGCAGCGAAAUGCGAUAAGUAGUGUGAAUUGCAGAAUUCAGUGAAUCAUCGAAUCUUUGAACGCACAUUGCGCCCCAUGGUAUUCCGUGGGGCAUGCCUGUUCAAGCGUCAUUUACCCCCUCAAGCUCCGCUUGGUGUUGGGCGUCUGUCCCGCUUCGCGCGCGGACUCGCCCCAAAGGUAUUGGCAGCGGUCGUGCCAGCUUCUCGCGCAGCACAUUGCGCUUCUCGAGGCACCGGUGGGCCCGCGUCCAUCAAGCUCACCCCCCCAGUUUGACCUCGGAUCAGGUAGGGAUACCCGCUGAACUUAAGCAUAUCAAUAAGCGGAGGA